Molecule: ribosomal RNA, 398 nt
Filed under: uncultured bacterium
Lineage: Bacteria
Description: bacterial SSU rRNA
Rfam family: Bacterial small subunit ribosomal RNA
Source: RNAcentral
AACGCGAAGAACCUUACCAGCCCUUGACAUGCCGCGCUACUCACAGAGAUGUGGGGUUCCAGCAAUGGACGCGGACACAGGUGCUGCAUGGCUGUCGUCAGCUCGUGUCGUGAGAUGUUGGGUUAAGUCCCGCAACGAGCGCAACCCUUGCCUUCAGUUGCCAUCAUUAAGUUGGGCACUCUGGAGGGACUGCCGGCGGUAAGCCGGAGGAAGGUGGGGAUGACGUCAAGUCCUCAUGGCCCUUACGGGCUGGGCUACACACGUGAUACAAUGGUGGCGACAGAGGGCACAAGCGAGCGUGUGAACGUUAGCAAAUCCCAAAAAGCCGAUCUCAGUCCGGAUUGCGCUCUGCAACUCGACUACAUGAAGUCGGAAUCGCUAGUAAUCGCGGAUCAGCA